AGUGUGCUAGCUUGCUAGAAUUUAGAUACAGGUGCUGCACGGCUGUCGUCAGCUCGUGUCGUGAGAUGUUGGGUUAAGUCCCGCAACGAGCGCAACCUCGUGUUUAGUUGCUAACAGUUCGGCUGAGAACUCUAAACAGACUGCCUACGCAAGUAGGAGGAAGGUGAGGACGACGUCAAGUCAUCAUGGCCCUUACGGCCAGGGCUACACACGUGCUACAAUGGGGUAUACAAAGAGCAGCGAUACGGUGACGUGGAGCAAAUCUAGAAAAUGCCUCUCAGUUCGGAUUGUAGUCUGCAACUCGACUACAUGAAGUUGGAAUCGCUAGUAAUCGUAGAUCAGCAAUGCUACGGUGAAUACGUUCCCGGGUCUU
Molecule: ribosomal RNA, 373 nt
Filed under: uncultured Arcobacter sp.
Lineage: Bacteria; Pseudomonadati; Campylobacterota; Epsilonproteobacteria; Campylobacterales; Arcobacteraceae
Description: bacterial SSU rRNA
Rfam family: Bacterial small subunit ribosomal RNA
Source: RNAcentral